GAGGUUAAAGGCUAAAGGAUAAAGGCAAAAGGUAUGUACCUUAGCAUAAUCCGGGAGAUCAUUUAAUAUCGGCAAUAAAAAUAAACAGGGGGAGCCCAGGGGAAAAGGACCUUUAACCUUUCGCCUUUAAGCUUUCACCUUAAAAGAAAUUCAGGUGCCUAUAUCGGCGGUGUCUACCUCUUCCCAUUCCGAACAGAGAAGUCAAGCCCGCCAGAGCCGAUGGUACUGCGGUAAAACGUGGGAGAGUAGGUCGGUGCCACCC
This 262-nucleotide ribosomal RNA is filed under the name Mucilaginibacter oryzae. The record is from RNAcentral. Lineage: Bacteria; Pseudomonadati; Bacteroidota; Sphingobacteriia; Sphingobacteriales; Sphingobacteriaceae.